UUUCUUUUUCUUUAUUUUGUUUUAAUAUUUAUUUAUUUAUUUGAAAGAGUUACACAGAGAGGAGAGGCAGAGAGAGGGAGAGAGAGAGAGGGAGGGAGGUCGGGAGGUCUUCCCUUAGCUAGUUCACUCCCCAACUGGCCACAACGGCCGGAGCUGCGCCAAUCCAAAGCCAGGAGCCAGAAACCAGGAGCUUCUUCCGGGUCUCCCACGUGGGUGCAAGGGCCCAAGGAAUUGGGCCAUCUUCUACUGCUUUCCCAGGCCUUAGUAGAGAGCUGGAUUGGAAGUGGAGCAGCCAGGUCUCGAAUCAGUGCCCAUACAGGAUGCCGGUGCUUCAGUCCGGUGUUAACCCGCUGCGCCCCAGCGCCGGCCCCCCUUAGAUCUCUUUUUCUUGGGAGGUGCCACGUGCACUGUGUUGUGUGCUGCAGUUCACUUUUCGCUGCUGUGCGGCAUUUCCCCACACACGCACCCCCAUGCGUUCAUCCAUUUGCCUACAGAUGGGCUCUUGGGUUGCUUCCAGCUUCUGGUUAUUAUUAUUUUUUAAAGAUUUAUUAUUUAUUUGAAAGUCAGAGUUACACAGAGGGAGGAGAGGCAGAGAGAGAGAGCGAGUGGGCGGGUGGGUGGGGGGGUCUUCUAUCCACUGGUUCACUCCUCAAUUGGCCUCAAUGGCCAGAGCUGCACCAACUGGAGCCAGGAGCCAGGAGCCUCUUCUGGGUUUCCCACGCGAGUGCAGGGGCCCAAGGACUUGGGCCAUCUUCUACUGCUUUCCCAAGCCAUAGCAGGGAGCUGGAUCGCAAGAGGAGCAGCCGGGACUCGAACCAGUGCCAAUAUGGGAUGCCAGUGCUGCAGGCGCCAGUCCCCAGCUUCUGCAGCACACUGUGUUUUCACAGAACUUUUGAAGAGGCAAAGAAGGGGAGGCUCACAUUGCUCCACCCAGUGUCUGACAGGGAGCUCCUGUCGCUCCCCCAUUUGCGGAGGAACGACACAGAACCCUGCACUGUUCUUUUGUCUGCUCGGCCCUCCCCGGGUUUGCUGCUGGUCCUUCCCGGGUUGGCUGCCGACCCCUCCACCUCCGUGGAGGGGCGGCUCCCCCUGCCACUUUCCCCACUUCCGCGGGGGAUCUGCACACCACUGGCCGGGCCGGCUCUCUCGGGGGCUGCACAGGUGUUCCUCAGGUGUUCCUGGUGCAUGUUGUCUCUCUCCUCCUUUAUAGUCCUCUUCCACCAAUCCCAACUCUGCUACCCACACGCCGAGUACGCUGCUCUCCUCCAAUCAGGAGCAAGAUCAGCUCCUGCAGCUCAUCAGUCAAAUUGGUGA
Molecule: long non-coding RNA, 1314 nt
Filed under: Oryctolagus cuniculus (rabbit)
Lineage: Eukaryota; Metazoa; Chordata; Mammalia; Lagomorpha; Leporidae
Description: lncRNA (ENSOCUG00000034594.1)
Source: RNAcentral